RNAcentral lists this ribosomal RNA (526 nucleotides) under uncultured bacterium. RNAcentral's name for it is "bacterial SSU rRNA". It matches the Rfam family "Bacterial small subunit ribosomal RNA", at positions 355 to 896 of the family's 1533-position model. The record is from RNAcentral.
CAAGGAAUUUUGGGCGAUGGGCGAAAGCCUGACCCAGCGACACCGCGUGAGGGAAUAAGGCCUUCGGGUUGUAAACCUCUUUUCCUGGGGAAGAAUCUCGACGGUACCCAGGGAAUAAGCACCGGCUAACUCCGUGCCAGCAGCCGCGGUAAUACGGAGGGUGCGAGCGUUGUUCGGAAUCACUGGGCGUGAAGCGCGUGUAGGUGGCCUGCUAAGUCUGGUGUGAAAUCCCGGGGCUUACCCCCGGAACUGCGCUGGAAACUGGGAGGCUCGAGUACCGGAGAGGAGGGUGGAAUUCCUGGUGUAGCGGUGAAAUGCGUAGAUAUCAGGAGGAACACCGGUGGCGAAGGCGGCCCUCUGGACGGAUACUGACGCUGAGACGCGAAAGCGUGGGGAGCAAACAGGAUUAGAUACCCUGGUAGUCCACGCUGUAAACGAUGGGCACUAGGUGUUCGGGGUAUUGACCCCCUGAGUGCCGCAGCUAACGCAUUAAGUGCCCCGCCUGGGGACUACGGCCGCAAGGUUA